RNAcentral lists this long non-coding RNA (482 nucleotides) under Homo sapiens (human). RNAcentral's name for it is "HSALNT0024286". Lineage: Eukaryota; Metazoa; Chordata; Mammalia; Primates; Hominidae. The record is from RNAcentral.
UCAGGCUUCCUUUUUCUGCCUGCUGCAGGGCUUCUCAGCCUGGGCUGGAUCCUGGACAGACAGGCCCAGGCAGGCUGUGCACUGUGACCUGGGGCCUUGCUGUGAACAAAGAGGACUUCAAGAGGAGAUGGCCUGGAGGAGUUCGCCUUUGUGGUCAUUUUGCUUCAGCGGACCAGUCAGCAAAUAAUGACUGCCCUUGGUCAUCCCUGGGAAGAUAAAGGAUUAUUAAAAGAGGGCCCGGCAGCUUGCAGAUUACACCUGCUACAUUUGGAGUGGAAAGAGGCUUCUCUGUCAGUGCCCCUUGCCCCCAUGGAAAGACACUAAUAGCAAUCUUCAACCAUAAUUGUUUGGUCCAUUUUGUUCUGGACCAAGUUUGCAUAAGUUUUAAGCCUGAAAGUCAAAGAAAAACGAAAUCUUACACGUCAACAUGGCCUUUCCAUCACUUGAAAAAGGCACCCUCUCUCUCUCUUUCUCUCUGCCUC